AUUAUCACUGGAUCUGUAGAGGGGAUUUUGUCACACACUGGUUUUCAUUUUAUAAGAGAAAGCACAGAAGGUGGUUGUUGUUGUUGGUGGAUACAUUGGCAUGGAGAUUGCUGCCGCAGCUGUUGGUUGGAAACUUGAUACAACGAUGGCAGGAAUUUCUGUUGUGGGUCAAAAUUAUUAUGGUGUGUUCCCGAUGUUUCCUUAUUUUGCUGUGGGUCAAAAAUAAGUAGUGAAAUUUAAGUAAUUUCUGUUGUGGGUCGAAAAUAUAAGUAAUUGUGAGCAUUCUUCUCAUCCAUUGUUUCCUUAUUUUGCUGAAAUUUUGUUACUUCAAGUAGUGAAAAUUUUCACCAUUAAAAUGUUU
Camellia sinensis is the source of this 361-nucleotide non-coding RNA. The record is from RefSeq and is a predicted model, not a curated record. NCBI's taxonomy places the organism in Eukaryota, Viridiplantae, Streptophyta, Magnoliopsida, Ericales, Theaceae.